UGGCAUUCUGGCACUGCUGCUGUUCCCUUAAGACAGGGAGAAGUGGAGACAGAGAAAUUUGUCAUUGCCUUCACAAGAAAAAACAGGGAUGUGCUUGUGACUUUUUUACAUCAGCAAUCAUACAAGGGAUUAAAGGUAAUGGUGCAGCAAUUCUAAGUGACAGAGGUCAUUUGGAUAGCAGCUCCUUAAAAUAUUACACAACUCACACUAAGAAAAUGCCAUCUGGUCAACUAGAAAGGACUCAGGACUCUAAGAAUAACAGUAUUACAAACAGAAGGAAAUUGAAGCCUAUUAUCUUAAAAAAUAUAAUUCUUACUGCCUCUGGUGAUAAGAAAUACACCUAAAAUUCAUAAUAUGCAUAGUGGAAAGCAAAAGGAUAAUGUGGACAAUAAAUUUAUGGGUAUCUAUCAGGAUAUAUUUUUGAACAAAUGAACGAAAGAAGGCAGAAAUAUGAAAUAUGAUGGAAAGUAUGGUGAAUGUGUGAAUUUUAAAAAUGGCAAUCUGAUUUCCAUGGAAAUGUGCUUCUGGUCUCAAAUGGCCACGUCAGUAUCAAGGGUUAUCUCAUAGUUUCGUAUUUCCCCAAUGACUAGUAAUACCAGGAUCUUUUCAUGUAUGUAUUGGCCAUCUGUUUACCUCUUUUGAGCCACUGGAAAAAAAUUGCUGGUUUCUUAUGUCAGACUUCAAGAUAAAAAGAAGCAUUGGUGUUUACAGGACUCAAACUCAGGACCUCGUGCAUGUCAGGCAGUUGCUGUGUUGCUAAGCCAUACCCAUGUUCCCUCUGACUGAUUCUUAAAUUUAACUAGUAUAUGAUUAAACUCUGUGUUUGGAUAGCUUCA
Molecule: long non-coding RNA, 836 nt
Organism: Cavia porcellus (domestic guinea pig)
Lineage: Eukaryota; Metazoa; Chordata; Mammalia; Rodentia; Caviidae
Exons: 5
Source: RefSeq, a predicted model, not a curated record